GACGAACGCUGGCGGCGUGCCUAACACAUGCAAGUCGAGCGAAGUUUUUAAAGCGGAUCCCUUCGGGGUGAAACUUUAAUUAUCUUAGCGGCGGACGGGUGAGUAACGCGUGGGCAACCUGCCUUGUACAGGGGGAUAACAGUUAGAAAUGACUGCUAAUACCGCAUAAGCGCACAGUACCGCAUGGUACGGUGUGAAAAACUCCGGUGGUACAAGAUGGGCCCGCGUCUGAUUAGGUAGUUGGCGGGGUAACGGCCCACCAAGCCGACGAUCAGUAGCCGACCUGAGAGGGUGACCGGCCACAUUGGGACUGAGACACGGCCCAA
This 326-nucleotide ribosomal RNA is filed under the name uncultured bacterium. RNAcentral's name for it is "bacterial SSU rRNA". It matches the Rfam family "Bacterial small subunit ribosomal RNA", at positions 28 to 334 of the family's 1533-position model. The record is from RNAcentral.